UAUAGAGCAAUAAGAUGACGGUGCUAAUAGUAAUAGGAUUAAAUGCUUCUAAAAUCGCAUGAUUUUGUUUUUUGUUUCUCUGGAAAUCAUAGUUCUACUCGCUUGCUCGGGUUUUCCUAGGAAUUGCAACAUUGUUGAAAUCCUAACAGGGAUGUGAAUUUAGCAUCAUUAAUAUCAAGGUUGCAUGAUUGUUGAUGUAGUUUGAAAGGGUUCACAUGUUUACCUUGUGGAAUACUGUUUUACUGUUUAUGAUUGAGAGCACGGAGAUGAUAUUCAGUUAUGGCUGAUUCUGAUUGUUGAGAUAAUAAUGAGAUUAUGGAAAACUGGGUGUUAAUUGCUAUUUGCUGUUUUGCACUAGCUUUCUUCCUAUAGAUUCAUGUUCUUCUCUCUCUCUACAGAAAAUGAUGCUCUUUUUUCAGGAAAUUUCUUAAUAUCCUGACCUUAUUACAUAUUAAUGUUAGGCCAAUUCAAAGUUAUUUUGGUGGAAAACUUCAUUCAACCAUUUCAAUGACGAGGAAGUAAAAUGGAUGCUGUUAUGAUGUUGUUCUUUGGUUUCUUGCAAUAUGUAAUAAUUAGUUUUUAAGAAAAAGAAAAUGCAACUCUUUCUGAAUUGA
RNAcentral lists this unclassified non-coding RNA (614 nucleotides) under Hevea brasiliensis (rubber tree). Lineage: Eukaryota; Viridiplantae; Streptophyta; Magnoliopsida; Malpighiales; Euphorbiaceae. The record is from RNAcentral.